Molecule: ribosomal RNA, 216 nt
Filed under: Glomeromycotina sp.
Lineage: Eukaryota; Fungi; Glomeromycota
Description: partial small subunit ribosomal RNA
Rfam family: Eukaryotic small subunit ribosomal RNA (bases 75-216)
Source: RNAcentral
GGGUCAGGAGGUUGGUCGUGCCACCGGUACGUACUGGUCUCACUGAUUCCUCCUCCCUGAAGAACCGUAAUGCCAUUAAUUUGGUGUUGCGGGGAAACAGGACUGUUACUUUGAAAAAAUUAGAGUGUUUAAAGCAAGCUAACGCGUGAAUACAUUAGCAUGGAAUAAUGAAAUAGGACGAUCGAUCCUAUUUUGUUGGUUUCUAGGAUUGACGUA